Molecule: small RNA, 596 nt
Filed under: Arabidopsis thaliana (thale cress)
Lineage: Eukaryota; Viridiplantae; Streptophyta; Magnoliopsida; Brassicales; Brassicaceae
Description: putative long intergenic non-coding RNA
Source: RNAcentral
UAACAAAAUUUGGUAGAGUUAUUCCCAAAUCCUUUAUCGUUAUUCUCCAGUUUACAGAAUUGAAUUUGGAUUAAAAUUGGUUGAGUUAUUCGCAGUUUCGUGAGACACGUUUUCUCAGACGCGAAUUAGGACCAGCGGAGAUUGAAACUGAGAUCGUGGUCUCGUCUGUUUUCCGAUCGGCACGAGAUUUUGUGGGCAGCUUUGUGACGUCUGCAGCUAGGAUUUUACCGGAGCGAUUGAAUAGUUAACGGUUAGCUUGUAUUUUAGGGUUUCGUCUUUGAGACUGUUUGUUUCUGGUGUUUUCCUGUCCAGUUUGCUUCAAGGUUGCUUUUGGUUGUGGACUUGUUGUAGGACGUUUCUGGACUGUUUCCGACGCAAGGAGAGUCUCUCCUGGGUUUAAUUGCUAUUAGAAUCAAUUUGUUAAGGUGAGUGCGUGACCAUGAGCUUAUCUAAGCGAUUGGGUUGUGUGAUUUGUUUUGUGUGAUGAUAUGUAAGUGUUGUGAAUGUGUUUUGGGUGAAUUGUUCAAUGACUGGUUUGUUUGUAUUGUAUUCGUGAUUAUACCUUUGUAUUUGCUUGUGUGUAUAGUUCGUAGAUG